AUUCAGUCCAACACCUUCGCUGAUGGUCUUGAACAUUUUUAAAACACAGUAGGCUUUUAAGCUUAAGCCAGGGUGGAUUGUAAAGGAAAUACCAACCAUGUGGUGAAACAUCCCAAAUGCCCUGCACCGUUUAGGGAUAUUCCAGGAGGGUGCCUUGGUACCAGCAGUGAGGAGAAGGGUGAGGAGAAGCUGGGAAAAGCUGCACUGAAGUCUACUCAAUGUUCAUGCUCACAUCAUCUUGACCCAAGGACCAAGCUGAGUUAGUGGUGAUCCGGAGGAACUCUGCCCCACCUGGUGGCCCCUUAGUAUGAGGAUGCUGACAUCGCGGCAUGAGGUUUCGGUUGAAGGUUGAACAUAGUACAAAGAGCCCAACAGAUGCUCAACAGCUCAAAAAUAUUGCUCUGCCCACAUUUCCUUAGCCAAAUGAGCUCUCUGAAGGACAGAGGGUCAUCCUGUUUCAAUCUCCAGAAUAUGCUUUCUCCCAUGGAAGUGAACUAAAGAGCACUAUCCAGAAAAAAAUCAGGACUCAUCCGUGGGAGGUUCCAGGGCUCAAAGACGUUUGGCAGCAUUGCUGAUGCAGACAUUCAAGUCAGAAGACCAGAUCUUGGCUUAUCUUCAAGGAGAGUGAGUCUUAGCCCAUGACAUACACAGCAUAGCAAAGCCCACCAAACUACCUGAGGGUGGACGCACACCCACGCUCAGCUCAGGAGAAUGAUGUGGGAAAGAUACCCGUCUGGCCAAAGAAGCAGACACAGGGAGCUUCCAAAAACAAACAAAAGUUAUAUUUGUUUUUUUUUUAAAUAAGUAUCCAAUUUUUCAUGUCAAUAAAGA
Molecule: long non-coding RNA, 831 nt
Organism: Canis lupus familiaris (dog)
Lineage: Eukaryota; Metazoa; Chordata; Mammalia; Carnivora; Canidae
Exons: 5
Source: RefSeq, a predicted model, not a curated record